AACGAUUUCACAUGACUUUUACUGUGUGUAACCGUUACAAACUGCUUUGCACUGUUUAUUUAGAUAUUUAAUUUGAUGGAAGUAUUAAUUUGUUAACUUUGUGGAUUUUCUGUUUUUGAUGCUUGAGCAUGUUAAACGAGAAAACAAUGGUGGUAUGCAACCUUCAGAUGUUUACGUGCACACUACAG
Molecule: long non-coding RNA, 188 nt
Organism: Gigantopelta aegis
Lineage: Eukaryota; Metazoa; Mollusca; Gastropoda; Neomphalida; Peltospiridae
Exons: 2
Source: RefSeq, a predicted model, not a curated record